CUUCUUCUUCGUCAUCUGCCAUUGGAGCGAUUUUCAAAAUACAAGUAUGUCCACCUUUAAUACUAACAUGCAAUUCUGAUGGGUCUUGCACUUCUUUGGAGUUGUCCCAGCAUGUAAAGACUUCAAACGAAGGGUGUGCAGAUCUAAAAAUCAUCGUGGAGUUAAAAGCAGCCGAUCUGUAAGGACAGGAUCUUUAUUUGAAAAAUCAAAAAUAAGCUUGCCAUCAUGGUUAACAUUUAUUUACAGGUUCUCUCAAGGAUUGCACCUGAGACAGAUAGACAUGAUGCAGGACAGGAUUGCUAGAAGUUCUAAAACUCUCUCCAGAAUGGCUAAGGUCCUGAGAAAGAUCUGUACCAAGGCUAUGAAAGAGUACCAAAAAAGAAGAAGGCAGCAGAUGGGAGGUCAACAAGAAUUUGUUGUUAUUGAUGAAAGCAAUUUCCGUCAUAAACGAAAGUAUGGACGGGGUAGGGCAUCUACCACAUGGAGGCGAAGGAAGUGGGUUUUUGGAAUGCUGGGUGUGAAACAUAAUCUGCGAAGGCCAAUAUUGCGUCUUGUCACUCGAAGAUCAAGAAAUCAUCUAAUUCCAAUUAUUGUCAAACAUGUGCGUCCAGGUACAAUCCUGAUCUCAGAUGAGUGGAGAGCUUACAGAGGUGUGCUGGCAAAUAUGGGCUACAGACAUUUUACAGUCAAUCACAGUCACUGGUUUGUAGACCCAAACACUGGAGCCCAUUCACAGCAUCUAGAACGAGCAUGGCUGUCUUAUAAAACAAGGGUGUGGAGACUAAGAGGAAACAGGACAGAGAAAAUGUUAAAAGAACAUCUCGCUCUCAUUGAAUGGACCAACUGGCUUGGUGAAAGGCACAGAAGAGGUGUCCUUGGACGGUUAUUCAGAGACAUUUACCAUCAAUUUCCAGUCUAACAAAUCCUAUCUUCUUGUUACAUGUGUGUUUAAUGCUCAAUGGCUGACUUAUUCUAAAACAUUUGUAUACAUUACAAAAUAUAUUCUAAUAAAGAUUAUUUAGUUAUUUUUAUUAUUAUUAAGAUUAUUAUUAUUAUUAGUAGUAGUGUAUCAGUUAAAUAAGGAAGUGAGUAUUUGGACACAGGGAAUUUUGAAUGACAAUGAAAUGUGGCGAAUUGAUAAUUGUUCUUACUUACAAAUCAGAAAACCAAUGUGACAAGUUGUGACAAGAUCAUUAUUAACUAGUCAUUAACUAAUGUAAGUUCAUGAUUUGUUGAGGCAUCUUUAUGUCAUGACUUUACUUGAAGGGGCACAUGAUGGUUAACUCAUUAUUAACUAGUCAUUAACUAGCAUGAGUUCAUGAUUUGUUGAGGCAUCUUUAUGUCAUGACUUUACUUGAAGGGGCACA
Cyprinus carpio (common carp) is the source of this 1367-nucleotide RNA transcript. RefSeq lists it as uncharacterized. Lineage: Eukaryota; Metazoa; Chordata; Actinopteri; Cypriniformes; Cyprinidae. The record is from RefSeq and is a predicted model, not a curated record. The transcript is spliced from 4 exons.